GCAGAAUAGUCUUUGCAGGCUAAAAAGUAGAUAUGACAAUAAUGUAGAGGUUUCCUCAUACAGAUACAUGCAGAAAGUUUGUUACAAAUAAUACAUGAGAGUAUGAGGGACAACUGUAUCCAUCAGACCUGAGUCGUUCAUUAAACAAUAGUCUUAACUCACUCACUUGUAUGGCAAUGUAUGAGCAGAUCAUAUCAAUCCAACAGUCAAAAUGCAAAGUGUGAGGUAAACUAACCAUAAAAUGCAUUAAGCGAAAGCCAUUCAUACAUGUAUGGGACCAACCCACAGACAUGACAUAUCAAAUACAUUACUAGGAAGUAAACAACCCUAAUUCAGAUGUGAAGAAAAUGGACCUUUUCUGACACUAAGGUUAUAAGGUGUCAGUGUACUGUAUGUGGGUAUGUCAUUCGCCUAAGUCAUUUGACCUGACAGAUACUCUCAAUGUGAUAAACAUUCUAAUUAAACGGUGAACACAAAUGUCAACAUAGCUACACAAUUCCUGUCUAAAGUUGUGGUAUUUUUCACAAUGUCACUAGUAGGUGGGGAUGUGGGGUACAGUUCCUUCUGCAAGAACUGCAGGUAACACUUCCUAUGAAUACGCUCUUCAUAAUGUGUUACAAGUGUAUUUAUAACACCUUAUAAUCUAUGAAUAUAUACAUCAUAAUGCAUGACAUAGGCACUAAUGGCUAAUACAUGUCUAUAUUCCUUCAGCAUUUUAAGCAGGCAGCAUAAUGCCUUAUGAUUAUGAAGCUAAGUGGUAUGACCUCAUGAAAGUCUCCUUAGGAAAAUGUGUCAGAGGGCUAUACUGUAACGACUUCACGUAGGAGUUCCGCACUCCUGUUAAAGGGAUAGUUCACCCUAAUUACAAAAUAUAAUUUGCUUUCUUUACCCCGUAAACAGUCUAUGGACAAGCUCAGACAGUAAUCCAUGCUUUGGUUUCGGAUGGGUGGACUUAUAACGCGAACGUCUAACAACCCAAAGGUUGCGUGUUCGAAUAUCAUCCCGGGAUAUUUUAGCAUUUUCGCUAAUUUGCAACUUUGCAAUUACUUACUACUUUUUAGCUUAAUGAGCACAUAAUGUAUGAUAUAACGAUCCUAAUGUGGCAUCUGGCAUAGUAAUACUUUGCUUCAUAAGGCAUUACACAUCCUGGUGAUAAUGCUUUAUGUAGUUAUAGAUGUUCUUGAGCAGUUAUUAGCACCUAUGUUGUGCAUCCUGAUGCAUUAUGCAUAGAAGGUGUUAUUAAUGCUCCUAUAAUGCAUUAUAAAGAGAACAUCCAUAUGAAGUGUUUCCUGUUUGAACUGACCAAUCAUGAUUUCCUAUGAAUACAGUGAUUUAAAUAAGUCUGAUGUAAUAUCAUCUAGAGUCUAAAAUGGAACAUCAAAGUUCUUUACUGAAAGUAGGAUUUCAUGUGUUAAAGGGGACAAAUUAUGCAAGUUAUUUUAACUGACAUGCUAACUCUCAAUUCAGAAAUAAUGAAUAAUUGCUUUGGUAAAAUAGAGCUUCUUAGACUGGGCCCUGUGAUAAUGAGGCCUACUCUAAAUAACGUCUAGUCAUUGUUUAGCUAUUUGACAUUGAGACCUCAUGACCUUGGAUAUGUCUAUACUAGAGAGGUUAACGUUUUAAGCAUCUUUUCAG
Oncorhynchus tshawytscha (Chinook salmon) is the source of this 1635-nucleotide long non-coding RNA. The record is from Ensembl. Lineage: Eukaryota; Metazoa; Chordata; Actinopteri; Salmoniformes; Salmonidae.